Molecule: ribosomal RNA, 429 nt
Filed under: Chloroflexota bacterium
Lineage: Bacteria; Bacillati; Chloroflexota
Description: Chloroflexi bacterium partial 16S ribosomal RNA
Rfam family: Bacterial small subunit ribosomal RNA
Source: RNAcentral
UGGGGAAUAUUGCACAAUGGGCGCAAGCCUGAUGCAGCCAUGCCGCGUGUAUGAAGAAUGCCUUCGUGUUGUAAAGUACUUUCAGUCGGGAGGAAGGUGGUAAGGUUAAUAACCUUAUCAAUUGACGUUACCGACAGAAGAAGCACCGGCUAACUCCGUGCCAGCAGCCGCGGUAAUACGGAGGGUGCAAGCGUUAAUCGGAAUUACUGGGCGUAAAGCGCACGCAGGCGGUUGAUUGAGUCAGAUGUGAAAUCCCCGGGCUUAACCCGGGAAUUGCAUCUGAUACUGGUCAGCUAGAGUCUUGUAGAGAGGGGUAGAAUUCCAUGUGUAGCGGUGAAAUGCGUAGAGAUGUGGAGGAAUACCGGUAGCGAAGGCGGCCCCCUGGACAAAGACUGACGCUCAGGUGCGAAAGCGUGGGGAGCAAACAGG